GAUGAACGCUGGCGGCGUGCCUAACACAUGCAAGUCGAGCGAAGCAUUUUAAAGGAAGUUUUCGGAUGGAAUUUGAAAUGACUGAGCGGCGGACGGGUGAGUAACGCGUGGGUAACCUGCCUCAUACAGGGGGAUAACAGUUAGAAAUGACUGCUAAUACCGCAUAAGCACACAGUACCGCAUGGUACAGAGUGAAAAACUCCGGUGGUAUGAGAUGGACCCGCGUCUGAUUAGCUGGUUGGCGGGGUAACGGCCCACCAAGGCGACGAUCAGUAGCCGACCUGAGAGGGUGACCGGCCACAUUGGGACUGAGACACGGCCCAA
Molecule: ribosomal RNA, 324 nt
Filed under: uncultured bacterium
Lineage: Bacteria
Description: bacterial SSU rRNA
Rfam family: Bacterial small subunit ribosomal RNA
Source: RNAcentral